This 496-nucleotide ribosomal RNA is filed under the name uncultured bacterium. RNAcentral describes it as "partial 16S ribosomal RNA". It matches the Rfam family "Bacterial small subunit ribosomal RNA", at positions 30 to 523 of the family's 1533-position model. The record is from RNAcentral.
AUUGAACGCUGGCGGAAUGCUUUACACAUGCAAGUCGAACGGUAGAGGGGGCAACCCCUCAAGAGUGGCGAACGGGUGAGUAAUAUAUCGGAACGUGCCCAGUCGUGGGGGAUAACGUAGCGAAAGUUACGCUAAUACCGCAUACGAUCUAAGGAUGAAAGCGGGGGAUCGCAAGACCUCGCGCGAUUGGAGCGGCCGAUAUCAGAUUAGGUAGUUGGUGGGGUAAAGGCUCACCAAGCCAACGAUCUGUAGCUGGUCUGAGAGGAUGACCAGCCACACUGGAACUGAGACACGGUCCAGACUCCUACGGGAGGCAGCAGUGGGGAAUUUUGGACAAUGGACGCAAGUCUGAUCCAGCCAUUCCGCGUGCAGGAUGAAGGCCCUCGGGUUGUAAACUGCUUUUGUACGGAACGAAAAGGUCUCUCUUAAUACGGGGGGCUCAUGACGGUACCGUAAGAAUAAGCACCGGCUAACUACGUGCCAGCCGCCGCGGUAA